CCUACGGGAGGCAGCAGUGAGGAAUAUUGGUCAAUGGACCCAAGUCUGAACCAGCCAUGCCGCGUGCAGGAUGACGGUCCUAUGGAUUGUAUACUGCUUUUGUACGAGAAGAAACACUCCUACGUGUAGGAGCUUGACGGUAUCGUAAGAAUAAGGAUCGGCUAACUCGGUGCCAGCAGCCGCGGUAAUACGGAGGAUCCAAGCCUUAUCCGGAAUCAUUGGGUUUAAAGGGUCCGUACGCGGUUUAGUAAGUCAGUGGUGAAAGCCCAUCGCUCAACGGUGGAACGGCCAUUGAUACUGGUAAACUUGAAUUAUUAGGAAGUAACUAGAAUAUGUAGUGUAGCGGUGAAAUGCUUAGUGAUUACAUGGAAUACCAAUUGCGAAGGCAGGUUACUACUAAUGCAUUGACGCUGAUGGACGAAAGCGUGGGUAGCGAACAGGAUUAGAUACCCUGGUAGUCCACGCCGUAAACGAUGGAUACUAGCUGUUGGGAGCAAUUUCAGUGGCUAAGCGAAAGUGAUAAGUAUCCCACCUGGGGAGAACGUUCGCAAGAAUGAAACUCAAAGGAAUUGACGGCGGCCCGCACAA
This 588-nucleotide ribosomal RNA is filed under the name uncultured bacterium. Its description in RNAcentral is "bacterial SSU rRNA". It matches the Rfam family "Bacterial small subunit ribosomal RNA", at positions 338 to 928 of the family's 1533-position model. The record is from RNAcentral.